This 292-nucleotide ribosomal RNA is filed under the name uncultured bacterium. Its description in RNAcentral is "partial 16S ribosomal RNA". It matches the Rfam family "Bacterial small subunit ribosomal RNA", at positions 505 to 796 of the family's 1533-position model. The record is from RNAcentral.
GUGCCAGCCGCCGCGGUAAUACGAAGGGGGCUAGCGUUGUUCGGAUUUACUGGGCGUAAAGGGCGCGUAGGCGGAUUUUUAAGUCAGGGGUGAAAUCCCAGGGCUCAACCCUGGAACGGCCUUUGAUACUGGAAAUCUGGAGUUCGGGAGAGGUGAGUGGAAUUCCGAGUGUAGAGGUGAAAUUCGUAGAUAUUCGGAGGAACACCAGAAGCGAAGGCGGCUCACUGGCCCGAUACUGACGCUGAGGCGCGAAAGCGUGGGGAGCAAACAGGAUUAGAAACCCGUGUAGUCC